Molecule: ribosomal RNA, 520 nt
Filed under: uncultured Glomus
Lineage: Eukaryota; Fungi; Glomeromycota; Glomeromycetes; Glomerales; Glomeraceae
Description: SSU rRNA
Rfam family: Eukaryotic small subunit ribosomal RNA
Source: RNAcentral
AGCAGCCGCGGUAAUUCCAGCUCCAAUAGCGUAUAUUAAAGUUGUUGCAGUUAAAAAGCUCGUAGUUGAAUUUCGGGGUCAGUAGGUCGGUCGUGCCACUGGUAUGAACUGGUUUUACUGAUUCCUCCCUCUUGAAGAACUGUAAUGCCAUUAAUUUGGUGUUGCAGGGAAUCAGGACUGUUACUUUGAAAAAAUUAGAGUGUUUAAAGCAGGCUUUAGCUUGAAUACAUUAGCAUGGAAUAAUGAAAUAGGACGUUUGAUCCUAUUUUGUUGGUUUCUAGGAUUGACGUAAUGAUUAAUAGGGAUAGUUGGGGGCAUUAGUAUUCAAUUGUCAGAGGUGAAAUUCUUGGAUUUAUUGAAGACUAACUACUGCGAAAGCAUUUGCCAGGAUGUUUUCAUUAAUCAAGAACGAAAGUUAGGGAUCGAAGACGAUCAGAUACCGUCGUAGUCUUAACCAUAAACUAUGCCGACUAGGGAUCGGAUGAUGUUAAUUUUUAUGUACUUCAUUCGGCGCCUUACG